This is an RNA transcript of Mobula hypostoma (lesser devil ray), 3084 nucleotides long. It is a transcript of the gene named dicarboxylate carrier SLC25A8-like, with no coding region annotated. NCBI's taxonomy places the organism in Eukaryota, Metazoa, Chordata, Chondrichthyes, Myliobatiformes, Myliobatidae. The record is from RefSeq and is a predicted model, not a curated record. The transcript has 10 exons.
GAGUAAAUUGUGGUGGAAGCAGAGAUGCUAAUAAGGUUUAAGAGCCAUCUACCUGAGCACAAAUCAUGAAGACUUUGAAAGCUCAGGGCUGGAAGAUGGAAUUAAUACAAAUAGAUGCCACUGGUCUGAGUGGACGUGCUGAGUUGAACGGCUUGUUUCAUACUGUAUGAUUCUGACUCUGACUGUAUGACUCUCAUUUCCUGGAAUUGCAAUUUCUUGCUGCAAGCCCUUGCACUUAUCUUGUGAAACCUGCUGCUACGAUAUCUGUGGAAGUAUUACAGGAUAAGUGUGUCCUGAAGCCAGGCACCUCAGCUAUAUCUCAACAAGAACCGGCAAACAAAAGAUCAGACCUUUCCAGUCCCUCAAGAUCCAGGCUGGUCACGACUACAGCAUCUCAGAGGUCUCCAGGCAAACCCUGCACCAAAUUCACUUGGAGGUGGGCUGCCGUCCGAGGCUGACGAGAACCACCUGCCCAAAACAACUGGUUUUGAGGCGCCAGUGGUCCGCCUUUGCCCCUUCGCUUGUCAGUAGAAACAGUUCUGCCGGGCCUAGUAACUAAGCCUCACGAGAAGGCCAGGAGCUGGACUUGGUUGUCAGAGGCUGUUAGAGUCGCACGCCAUUUGGAGAGCUUUAUAGGUAGUGGGAGCUUAUCCCCACUACCACCAUGGCUAUGACAACCUGAGGAACCAAUGUGAGGACAUCAGUGAUAAUGAACUUGGUUUGGUUGGAGAAUGGUGAAUUUGCAAGAUUGUUUACUUCCCGCACACCUGUAGGAGGACCGCACUUGAACAUGGUUGGAUUCAAACCCUUGGAAAAACCUCCGACAAACAGUAUAAAAAUAAUCGGAGCUGGAACAGCAGCAUGUAUUGCCGAUCUUGUCACAUUCCCUCUUGAUACGACCAAAGUGAGAUUGCAGAUUCAAGGAGAAUCCAAAUCUGUGCACAGUGUGACUCCUGUGAAGUAUAGGGGGGUCUUUGGUACCAUAGCUACAAUUGUGAGGACUGAAGGGGUGAGAAGUCUCUACAAUGGCUUAGUGGCUGGUCUUCAUCGUCAGAUGAGUUUCUCUUCUGUUCGCAUUGGGCUUUAUGAUUCUGUUAAACUCUUCUACUCCAAUGGAUCUGACACUAUCUCCAUUGGAUGCCGCCUGCUUGCUGGAUGUACGACAGGAGCCAUGGCAGUCACCUUGGCACAGCCUACCGAUGUGGUGAAAGUAAGGUUUCAAGCGCAAGCAAACCUAACUGGUGUGACUAAACGCUACAGCGGGACAUUGAAUGCUUACAGAACAAUUGCCAAAGAAGAAGGAGUUAAAGGAUUAUGGAAAGGUGCUUUGCCAAAUAUUGCUCGUAAUUCCAUUGUGAAUUGUGCAGAACUGGUCACUUAUGACUUGUUCAAGGAUGCAAUCUUAAGAUAUAAUCUCAUGACUGAUAACCUUCCUUGCCACUUUUCUGCUGGUUUUGCUGCUGGAUUCUGCACGACCAUUGUUGCUUCACCUGUUGAUGUUGUGAAGACACGAUACAUGAACUCUACUCCUGGCCAGUACAGCAGCGCUAUUAAUUGUUCCUUCACCAUGCUGCGAAAGGAGGGCUUGACAGCCUUUUAUAAAGGGUUCAUGCCCUCCUUCCUGAGGCUGGGCUCAUGGAAUGUGGUGAUGUUCGUCUCCUAUGAACAGCUGAAACGUGCAAUGAUGUUGGCCAAGCAGUCCUGGGAAUCUCUUUGAUACUUUCUACACAUGAUGACAGAUAGUAUACAUACUGAAUUCCUUUAAAUAGUGUAUGAAUUUUGUGGAUAUGGAUCUUUUGAAGGAUUUGUGAUAUGAUGCUGUUGCAGGUCAAUAGUAAUGUACCAUAAUCAUGUAACUUAUAAAUUCUUUGAACCAAGAGCUUGUGAUUUUUUAAAAUAUACUGUAUAUGGUGAAUAAAGAUGAUUUCUAGUAUCUAUUAUGGAAUGGUGAAGCAAAAUUAAUGAUUAAUCUCAGAUGUACAGCAUAGUUCUAGGGCCUCUUUGACCCAUGUCUAUGCCCUGCUCAUUCAACAACCUGGCCAGAUGCUCUUAAAUGUUGUGACUAUUCUUACCUCUACCAUCUCCUCUGGCAGCUUUUUUCCAGGUAAAACUACCUUGUCUUUGUCGAGUGGGUGAAUUACUCAUCGGAUCCCUUUAAACCUCCUUCCUCUUGCCUUAAACAUAUUCCCCUCUAGUUUUAUUAGACACUCCUACCAUGGGAAACAGACAAUGGCUAUCUACUGUCUCUCAUAAUUUUAAUAUAGCUUUAUCAUAUCACCUGUCAAACUCCAUUGCUCCAAGUAAAGUAGACCUUGCCUAUCCAAUCUUUUGAUGAUAACUAAAGUCCUUCAAUUAGGCAACAUCCUUGAGAAUCUUUUCUGCAUCUUGUUUAUUUCAAUCACAACCUUCCAAUAUUCCAGGUGCAGCCUAUCCAAUAGUUGUACACACUGCCUUGAUUGAUGAAAGCAAGAAUGCCAUAUAGAAACAAAGUCUGCAGAUGCUGGAAAUCCAAAGCAACACAAUACUGGAGGAACUCAGCAGAUGGUUGAAGAAGUUUGGCAUGAAUCCCUAAAUCGUAGGACUUCCUACAGGGAACAAUCGACAGCAUCCUGACUGGCUGCAUCAUCGCCUGGUAUGGGAACUGUACUUCCCUCAAUCGCAGGACUCUGCAGAGAGUAGUGUUGCCAGCCCAGUGCACCUGUAGAUGUGAACUUCCAGUUAUUCAGGACAUUUACAGAGACAGGUGCGUAAAAAGGGCCCGAACGAUUAUUGGGGAUCCAAGUCACCCCAACCACAAACUGUUACAGCUGCUACUAUCUGGGAAACGGUACCUCAGCAUAAAAGCCAGGACCAACAGGCUCUGGGACAGCUUCUUCAGCCAGGCCAUGAGACUGAUUAAUUCACGCUGAUACAACUGUAUUUCUAAGCUAUAGCGACUGUCCGGUUGCACAUACUAUUUAAUAUAAAUUACUAUAAAUUGCACAUUGCACAUUUAGACGAAGAUGUAAUGUAAAGAUUUUUACUCCUCAUGUACGUGAAGGAUGUAAUAAACAAAGUCAAUUCAUUCAAUUCAAUACAUGGUAC